RNAcentral lists this ribosomal RNA (494 nucleotides) under uncultured bacterium. RNAcentral's name for it is "bacterial SSU rRNA". It matches the Rfam family "Bacterial small subunit ribosomal RNA", at positions 27 to 507 of the family's 1533-position model. The record is from RNAcentral.
UGGACGAACGCUGGCGGCGUGGAUUAGGCAUGCAAGUCGGACGGUAGGGCUUUAUCGUAAGAUAGAGUUUGAGAGUGGCGAACGGGUGAGUAACACGUAGGAAUCUACCCUUAAGACGGGGACAACCCAGGGAAACUUGGGCUAAUACCGGAUGUGAGCAACUUUUAGUUGUUUGAAAGGUGGCGUAAGCUGUCGCUUGGGGAUGAGCCUGCGUCCUAUUAGUUAGUUGGUGAGGUAACGGCUCACCUAGGCAAUGAUAGGUAGGCGGCCUUAACGGGUGGUCGCCCACACUGGGAUUGAGAUACGGCCCAGACUCCUACGGGAGGCAGCAGUCGAGAAUAGUCUACAAUGGUCGGAAGACUGAUAGUGCGACGCCGCGUGAACGAUGAAUCCCUUCGGGGUGUAAAGUUCUUUUAUAUGUGAGCAGUGCUUCUUAUAUUAACAGUAUGGGGAGAGAGAUAUUAGCAUAUGAAUAAGCAACGGCUAACUCCGUG